UACGUAGGGUGCAAGCGUUGUCCGGAAUUAUUGGGCGUAAAGAGCUCGUAGGCGGUUUGUCGCGUCUGCUGUGAAAACGCGAGGCUCAACCUCGCGCCUGCAGUGGGUACGGGCAGACUAGAGUGCGGUAGGGGAGAUUGGAAUUCCUGGUGUAGCGGUGGAAUGCGCAGAUAUCAGGAGGAACACCGGUGGCGAAGGCGGUUCUCUGGGCCUUACCUGACGCUGAGGAGCGAAAGCGUGGGGAGCGAACAGG
RNAcentral lists this ribosomal RNA (253 nucleotides) under uncultured bacterium. RNAcentral describes it as "partial 16S ribosomal RNA". It matches the Rfam family "Bacterial small subunit ribosomal RNA", at positions 524 to 776 of the family's 1533-position model. The record is from RNAcentral.